UGGCAAGGAGCCAGCACCAGUACGCACUCUCCCCACUGUGCCCACCCUGGACCACGUCCCCACUCAGGCGACUGCCCUAGGAGGACAGGCACCCCGGCAACCCCUCAGCAGCAGUGAUAGCCAACCAGAGGGGCCCACACUCACGCCUGAUAGAAUCAGGCCUGGCAGGAAGUAGCACAGGAGGCUGGCUGGGCUUUCAGAGUUUACUCUCGCUGAGGGUAAAAGGCAGACACUCUUUACCUUCUAUUUUCACCCCGGGAGGAUUCACUGGAGCAGCUUACCACGUAUGCCAAUGUGGGCUGAGACAGUUUCAAGAAAUUACACACUCCUUUUCGACUCUGAAAACUUUAGUUUUUCCUGCCCCGUGUGGUUAACAGGGGUACCUUGCCCCCUUCCCGCCCCGGCCCCCGCCCUCUCUGUCCUGUGUCUUGCUGCCUCCUUGCCCAUGGCCGCUCUUGGCCGAGGAAAGGCCACGAGCCCAGUGUGGAGGCAGCUGCCUGCCCCACCGCCCUGGGAACCAAAGAGGCAGAGCCCCACUGCCUGCCUAAGGCCUAGGGCAGGCCACGGCUUGCUAGGCCCCAGCAAACCCUCUCUGAGUUCAGUGCUAAUUCCAGUUUUUCUUGUUUGAGGGGGCCAAACCUCAGCCUCCCCCUUUGCCCCCAGAACAGAUCCCAGGAUGAGCAGGGGAGGGCCACCCCUCCUGCCUGCCCUCCUCCCUCUCCCCUCCCACUGCCUCAUCUCCCGGGUUUCCUCUUUCAAAGCUGUCAGCCUACAGAGGGGCACCCCUCCUACUGUAGACCCUGAGGUCCAGGGUAGACUUUGUUGGGGACAAGACAGAUCCAACCAAAGCCAACCCUAGGGAAGGUAUGGGGCCAGCAGGGGCCCCCAGGGGACAGAGCAAUUGGCCAAGGGGAGGGGGCAGUGUGGGGCGAACCUACCCGGCAUGUGCUCUGUGCCUGGCCAGAGGGGCCCCCGGGGAAGAGCUGCUCCUUGCCACCCACUGCUUCCUGCAGGGCCCCCAUGGUUCCCCUCCUGACUGCAGCCUUUGUGAAGAACCACUCCAAGAGCCUGGCACUGAACACACCCCAAGUAUUUAUUGGAAGUCUACUGGGUGCCAGGGCCUGUGCCAAGGAUGGGUCACUCAGCUGGAGACAAACAGACUUGGCUCCUACUCUCCGUAGCUCACAGUCUUGUGGUCCCAAGAUGUAGUUUAAGGGUGACAAGUGCAAUAAAGGGAAGCUCAAAGUGUGUCUAGACGCCACCAGGGAAGGCUUCCUGGAGGCAGCGGUCUGAUCCAAGACCUGGUCAUGGACCCAUUCCAACAUGCCUGGAUGCCUCUGCCUUGUACUCUCUCAGGAGAGGUAGGAGGGACCUCGCCCCCUCGGUGGGCCACCUGAGCCUGGUGGCCCCUGAGAUCAGCGCUGCUCAGAGGAGCCAGCCUCCAGGGAAGAAGCAAAGGUCACCAUGAACUCCUGGAGCCAAAUGACAUGAACUUGCCUGGGAUCCUGCCUUUCUUGGCUUCCUGCUGAAUUUGGCCUGCGUCUGGCCUACGGCAAGCCUUCAACACAUGUGUCUGAAUGCAUGGCUCUCUCUGCAACUCCCCUCUCUCCUUGCUUAAGAAACAUCCUCAUUCCCUCCUUUCCACACAAGGGUCCACUGGGUUGGCCUGAGGUCCUCCCGAGGGGCUCGAGGGACCAGGGUUCACCAUUAUGGGAGCAACGAAAGGCCUAAGAAAGGAUGACCGGCAAAGUCAAUAUUGAGGGACUGAGGACAGGAUCACCAGUGGCCCAACCCGGUGGCCUAGGGCCAGGGCAUGUCACCCAGUGAUCCAGACAGGGCCUCAAGGAAGCCAUCACAGCCUGUCCCAAGCCUUCUACAUCUGAUGGUAUUUCUGCGCCUUGGCCAGUAGCCGCCAGCCUCUCACCAGAAAGAAAGCCUCUCCUCCCUGAGCAGCCUUUGUCCCUUUCUUGCCCAGCCACGGAGGCCUCAGGGAGCACCUCCCACCUCCCUCCCGAGCCAACCGGAGCGCUCUCCCGGUGCCCUCCAGGACACCGUGCUGGUGAGGAAACUCGGCUGAUUAUGGCGGCCCUUCUCUCGGGUCCGUUGGGCAAUGGUCUCGACUGGACGUGCGGCAUAACCCCUGCCCGGAGAGCAAGGUGGCAUCAGAGGUGUCUGCCUGCCCCCAGAGAGGUGCUGUGACCUUCGAUGUCAGGUUUGGACCCGUCUGAAGUAGCCUCCCGGAGUGAUUUACAAUUUGCAAACACGUUUUAUUUGAUUCCUCAGUUUUGCUAGAGCAAUUACAGUGACUAAGCAUGACAAAUCACUCCCAUCACGGUGUCUACUCGCUGUUAGGAAAUGUGUUCGCUUCACUAUUUUGCCUGGUGCGGCAACAUUUUAAAAAUAGACUCAUUCACUGUACUUGAAGGCAAUUUGUUCCCAAUUUUCCCACUAAUUUGAUUUUAAUCUGAUAUUUAAAAUUCGUGUGACCACAUUCCCACUGAUUUAUAGGGAAUAAGCCCUACCUGGCAGCAGUUUAAUUGGCCUUAACCCAUAAGUCCACAGGACAAAGGAUUUAUCCCAGAACAAUUUGAAGACACUGGUGUCGGCAAUGCUUCAAUGUACGUCUAAGUCAGCAUAUGGCAAGUGCCACUGGCCUGGGGCCACUAACAGCGGGUGUGGGCUGAGGGCCUCUGCCACUCUCCUUCAGGACCCUGACACAUAGUAGGCCAACAGUCCUCGCUGAGCAGAUGCAUGGAGCCCAGAUGUCCUGGCCCGGUGCGUGCCUGACCAAUGCAUAGUCGGGUUCUGGGGGAAAGCCCUUUGUUACUAGAAGUUUCCUCUUUCUCCCAUCCCGUGAUCAGGUUGGGUCCUGGGAGGAGGGCCCUGCAGCUCUCGCACCAGCUGAGUCCUGGCUUUGCCUGCUCCUGACAGUGUGGCCCUCACCGCAGCUCUUGAUUUCUCAGAGCUUCGGUCUCCUUUUAGGCAAAAUGUAUGCAAAACGAGCACCCCCGUCAGUCAUCCAGUUGUUGUGAAAGGUUAACAGGCAAAGCUUGUGAGACACUUGGCUCAAGGUAAUGAGAUUACUGUGCGUUAGGGCAGGAGGCAGGGGGCGUUGGGGAAGGCACGACUUGGUCCCUGAAAAAGCCCCGUGGAAGGAGACAGUCGUCGGAAUAAUGAGGGCAAAAUCCUUGCAUCCGGAGUAACCAAGUUCCUGAAGUCAUUUUGAUCUGGCUUCGAUUUUUUUUUUCCCCCAGGGAUGCCUUUUAUUUGCUUAGAAGGCAAAUAAAUUUAUUUGCUUAGAAGGCUUAAUGAGAUUCUCCCCGGCGCAGAGCCCUCCUGUGGGUGACCCUGCAGCCUGAGCACGGUGGUCAAACUCUUCUUCACGGACAGCACUGGGACCAGCAAGGGUGUCAUGGGAGAAGAUUCUUGAUCCAAGGGCAGAAUCCUCAGUGACGACUUCUGGUCAUUGAGAGCGUUCUCACUGGGGCAUCAGCCUCCCCAAAUCCUGAAAGACCACCCCCCACCCCACCUGCCAACACUACAGGCCUCCCGUUAACUCCAUUCUAUUUGGAAAGCUGGGACCUCAGUGAGUGCGGUGGCCCUGGCGUUCCCUUGCUGGUGGCAGGAGAGCAGAAGGAUGUGCUAUGGGGGGAGACACCUCCUGCCCCUUUGCCCACCCUCCAUUCCCCACUGGGUCAUCUCAACCCUUGGCCAAACAGUUGGUUCCCGUUUGCCCGAGCUAGCUCGAGCCCAGGAAGUGAGGUGGGAGGCUGCCCUCCACCCUGUGGGGAGGCCUGAUUGGGAUCCUGGAGGGGUGAGGAGGGGCCACAGAAGCAGGUGGGAGGCGGCCUGGGCCACACUUACGCUCCCUUAGAGAUGGGGCCACCAGCUGGAAAGAGCUCUGGAAACCGGCCUUGCUUUUCCCCUUGCUGCCAGGAAGGCCAACAUGAGAGUAACGCAAGUUAAUGAGCAAACUCCUCAGGCAAGGAAGGCAGGCAGCUCUCGGGCACCCCCAUCUCCCUGCUCAAGCACAAGACAGCAGUUGGAUGCCCCUGGCCGAACCAAGGGAGGGCAGCAGGUAUGGAGAGAGGCCAGGAGGCCUUAAAUCAUCGGUCGGCCGGGCUGGGUGCAGGGCCUCAGCAGGAGGGAGGGCAGCCAUGGGAUGCGGGCGACUCCCCGGGGAGAGUGGUGCCGUGUGGGCAUGGGCAUGGGUGCAGGGGUGUGCGGGGUGCGUUCGAACCUGGAGCUGAUUUGGAGCCUUGGGCUGGAGGAGUGUCCAUGCCCAGGAGGGGUGAAGGGUCCUCCCAAGAGCAAUUCCCAAGUUCACCAAAGCUGGACCUCUAUUUGAGGAGCGGUCUCACCUGGGAGAGGUGGAGGCCUGUGAGUCACGGGCCAGGCCCCUGAGCCCAGGGGAGGUGGGGAUGAUGGCUCCCAGCCCGAAAUGUGUCAGAAGCACGAUGAGCAUCUUGAGUGAUGCGCAGUCUAUGUAAUUAUGUGGGGCAGUGCUGCUCGGGGUGUGUGUGAACCAAACGAGAAAGGAGAGCAGCCUCGUGCCCGGGUCUUCUACCUCCCUGGCUGCACCCCAGGCUCGGAGAGAAGCCCUGGGUCUCAGGACCCGUGACAAGACAGGGCAGGGGCGGGAUCAGCACCUGGGCUCCUACACAUGUCGACCAGGGGGGAAUAGUUUGACCCUCUCCACCCACAAAUCCACCCAGGGGAGUGAAACACUCAUGUUUUCCUAAGACUCUCUUCUCUGGCUUUAGUUCACGACACCCUCCCCUUCCCCCGCCUCCACCCAGCAUUCCUCAACUUAAUUUACUUUAGUUUUUUUUAAUUUUUAAAAUUAAAUCAACUGCAUAUUGUUUGGAACAUCUUGGAGAUUUUCAGAAAUUGGAAUGGCAUGUCAGAGACAUUGCAGAGCCAGGUUUGGGGUCCCACAUGACCCACCCCCCAUCUUCAUGCAUCAGGGGAUGGGAGACGGCUGCCAUUGGCGGUCUCUUGCUGCUUUCCUUAUGAGACAAGCCUCUGCGACUGGUACCCCCAAAGCACAAUGGUUUGGAGGCACCUGCUGCUGGGCGUGGGGGAAUCUGGCGCCUGCCAGAGAGCC
Mirounga angustirostris (Northern elephant seal) is the source of this 5107-nucleotide long non-coding RNA. RefSeq lists it as uncharacterized. The record is from RefSeq and is a predicted model, not a curated record. Lineage: Eukaryota; Metazoa; Chordata; Mammalia; Carnivora; Phocidae. The transcript is spliced from 3 exons.